UAUGUGAUCGUCUCUCGCAUAUCAAUAAGCGGAGGAAAAGAAACUAACAAGGAUUCCCCUAGUAACGGCGAGUGGAGCGGGAAGAGCUCAAAUUUGAAAUCUUAAAGGGUUUCCCUUUACGAAUUGUAGUUUAAAGAAGUGUUUUCUGUUGAGGUUUUGGUAAAAGUUCUUUGGAAUAGGACAUCAUAGAGGGUGAGAAUCCCGUAUUUGACCUUUACUUUCAACUUUGUGAUACACUUUCAAAGAGUCGGAUUGUUUGGGAAUGCAGUCCAAAAUGGGUGGUAAAUUUCAUCUAAAGCUAAAUAUUGGCGAGAGACCGAUAGCGAACAAGUACCGUGAGGGAAAGAUGAAAAGAACUUUGAAAAGAGAGUUAAACAGUACGUGAAAUUGUCAAAAGGGAAGCGUUUGACACCAGUGUUGUUUUUCUGAAAAUCAAUUAAAGAACUGUUUAUGCUAAGCUGUUUAGACUUUAUCAGCUAUCUGUUUAGUUUUGAGCUUUUCUUUAAUGCACUUUUCAGUUAACAAGUCAACAUCAAUUUCUUUUGCUGUAAAAAAGCUUGAGGAAGGUGGCUUGAGAUUCGUCUUAAGUGUUUAUAGCCUCUUGCCUAUGCAGUCGGAGAGAUUGAGGUCUGCAGCGUAGAUCCUUCGGGGCUAAAUGCAUUUGUGCUAAGUUAUAGCAUUUUAUAGACAACUUGUUGACUAUGAUUUGUCUUGUAGCUUACUCGCUUAUGUUAUUUUACCUACGCUUAGGAUGUUGAUAUGCAUGACUGAUAU
This 774-nucleotide ribosomal RNA is filed under the name uncultured Neocallimastigales. RNAcentral describes it as "partial large subunit ribosomal RNA". It matches the Rfam family "Eukaryotic large subunit ribosomal RNA", at positions 24 to 640 of the family's 3401-position model. Lineage: Eukaryota; Fungi; Neocallimastigomycota; Neocallimastigomycetes; Neocallimastigales. The record is from RNAcentral.